CCGCCGGCCGCGCCCUCCCCCGCGAGCCGCACCUCGCGUCGCCGCCAGACACUUAGGAUGCAUUGCUUGUGAGCAAACAUUUUGGGAUCCUUAAGUCACCUUUGCGUCAAUAAACAGAUUGUGUGGCUUCCUAGAAAACUGACUGCCCAACCUGUGAAACUGGACCUCUAGACCCUUCUGUAUUACUUUUACUGAAACUGCUUCCCCACAUUUUUUUUCACUGCUUCGUUGAGCCCCAGCAUCAAAUCCUCUGUGAGGCAGACCACCACACUGAAAGCAAAGGGACGUGAAUAAAUACAGCUCUGUAAAGAGAGAAGAAGAAGAAAAGAAGAAGGAAGAGGAGGAGGAGGAGAAGGAGAAGAAAAUCAAAUCCAGCGAAGUGAAAAAAUAUACCUGACAUCUCCAUCUGGUGUCUAAUAGAUAUCUCAGAAAUAA
Molecule: long non-coding RNA, 435 nt
Organism: Canis lupus familiaris (dog)
Lineage: Eukaryota; Metazoa; Chordata; Mammalia; Carnivora; Canidae
Exons: 2
Source: RefSeq, a predicted model, not a curated record